Small nuclear RNA from Globicephala melas (long-finned pilot whale), 187 nucleotides. RefSeq annotates it as U2 spliceosomal RNA. Lineage: Eukaryota; Metazoa; Chordata; Mammalia; Artiodactyla; Delphinidae. The record is from RefSeq and is a predicted model, not a curated record.
AUCACUUCUCGGCCUUUUGGCUAAGAUCAAGUGCAGAAUACCUAGUACAGGGCAUGGCACACGGUAGAAGCUCAGUACAUAUUUGAGUAUUCUUUUUUUAAAUUGGCUUUUCCAUUCAUGUGGUGGAUGCCACAAAAUAGAGCCAGAAAUUGAAAGGUAAAGCUUACAGAAAAAUGGUUUCUACAUU